ACUAAGCGUACACGGUGGAUGCCCUGGCAGUCAGAGGCGAUGAAGGACGUGCUAAUCUGCGAUAAGCGCCGGUAAGGUGAUAUGAACCGUUAUAACCGGCGAUUUCCGAAUGGGGAAACCCAGUGUGAUUCGUCACACUAUCAUUAACUGAAUCCAUAGGUUAAUGAGGCGAACCGGGGGAACUGAAACAUCUAAGUACCCCGAGGAAAAGAAAUCAACCGAGAUUCCCCCAGUAGCGGCGAGCGAACGGGGAGGAGCCCAGAGCCUGAAUCAGCAUGUGUGUUAGUGGAAGCGUCUGGAAAGGCGCGCGAUACAGGGUGACAGCCCCGUACACAAAAGCGCAUGUGCUGUGAGCUCGAUGAGUAGGGCGGGACACGUGGUAUCCUGUCUGAAUAUGGGGGGACCAUCCUCCAAGGCUAAAUACUCCUGACUGACCGAUAGUGAACCAGUACCGUGAGGGAAAGGCGAAAAGAACCCCGGCGAGGGGAGUGAAAAAGAACCUGAAACCGUGUACGUACAAGCAGUGGGAGCUGAGGGAAAGGCGAAAAGAACCCCGGCGAGGGGAGUGAAAAAGAACCUGAAACCGUGUACGUACAAGCAGUGGGAGCCCCACCACUAAGCCAGUGGUGAACUCCACAUACGCAUCCUUUGCUGAGGAUACGGUUAACGGAGCGCAAGCGACGUUCAACCGCAAAAGAAGCAGAGGGGGCUUAGUGGUGGGGUGACUGCGUACCUUUUGUAUAAUGGGUCAGCGACUUAUAUUCUGUAGCAAGGUUAACCGUAUAGGGGAGCCGGAGGGAAACCGAGUCUUAAUUGGGCGUUAAGUUGCAGGGUAUAGACCCGAAACCCGGUGAUCUAGCCAUGGGCAGGUUGAAGGUUGGGUAACACUAACUGGAGGACCGAACCGACUAAUGUUGAAAAAUUAGCGGAUGACCUGUGGCUGGGGGUGAAAGGCCAAUCAAACCGGGAGAUAGCUGGUUCUCCCCGAAAGCUAUUUAGGUAGCGCCUCGUGAAUUCAUCUCCGGGGGUAGAGCACUGUUUCGGCUAGGGGGCCAUCCCGGCUUACCAACCCGAUGCAAACUGCGAAUACCGGAGAAUGUUAUCACGGGAGACACACGGCGGGUGCUAACGUCCGUCGUGAAGAGGGAAACAACCCAGACCGCCAGCUAAGGUCCCAAAGUCAUGGUUAAGUGGGAAACGAUGUGGGAAGGCCCAGACAGCCAGGAUGUUGGCUUAGAAGCAGCCAUCAUUUAAAGAAAGCGUAAUAGCUCACUGGUCGAGUCGGCCUGCGCGGAAGAUGUAACGGGGCUAAACCAUGCACCGAAGCUGCGGCAGCGAGUAAUAGCUCACUGGUCGAGUCGGCCUGCGCGGAAGAUGUAACGGGGCUAAACCAUGCACCGAAGCUGCGGCAGCGAACGUAUCACUUAAAGCGAUUCAGCGGGUUACGAUUGACGGAGCGAAGCGACGUCAAAGCGUAUACAAAGUCGAGUCGGUUUAAGGAUACGUUCGUUGGGUAGGGGAGCGUUCUGUAAGCCUGUGAAGGUGUGUCGUGAGGCAUGCUGGAGGUAUCAGAAGUGCGAAUGCUGUUGGGUAGGGGAGCGUUCUGUAAGCCUGUGAAGGUGGCCUGUGAGGGUUGCUGGAGGUAUCAGAAGUGCGAAUGCUGACAUAAGUAACGAUAAAGCGGGUGAAAAGCCCGCUCGCCGGAAGACCAAGGGUUCCUGUCCAACGUUAAUCGGGGCAGGGUGAGUCGACCCCUAAGGCGAGGCCGAAAGGCGUAGUCGAUGGGAAACGGGUUAAUAUUCCCGUACUUGGUGUUACUGCGAAGGGGGGACGGAGAAGGCUAUGUUGGCCGGGCGACGGUUGUCCCGGUUUAAGCGUGUAGGUGUGUGUUCCAGGUAAAUCCGGUUCACUUUAACACUGAGGCGUGAUGACGAGGCACUACGGUGCUGAAGCAACAAAUGCCCUGCUUCCAGGAAAAGCCUCUAAGCAUCAGGUAACAUCAAAUCGUACCCCAAACCGACACAGGUGGUCAGGUAGAGAAUACCAAGGCGCUUGAGAGAACUCGGGUGAAGGAACUAGGCAAAAUGGUGCCGUAACUUCGGGAGAAGGCACGCUGACAUGUAGGUGAAGUGAUUUACUCAUGGAGCUGAAGUCAGUCGAAGAUACCAGCUGGCUGCAACUGUUUAUUAAAAACACAGCACUGUGCAAACACGAAAGUGGACGUAUACGGUGUGACGCCUGCCCGGUGCCGGAAGGUUAAUUGAUGGGGUCAGCGCAAGCGAAGCUCCUGAUCGAAGCCCCGGUAAACGGCGGCCGUAACUAUAACGGUCCUAAGGUAGCGAAAUUCCUUGUCGGGUAAGUUCCGACCUGCACGAAUGGCGUAAUGAUGGCCAGGCUGUCUCCACCCGAGACUCAGUGAAAUUGAACUCGCUGUGAAGAUGCAGUGUACCCGCGGCAAGACGGAAAGACCCCGUGAACCUUUACUAUAGCUUGACACUGAACAUUGAGCCUUGAUGUGUAGGAUAGGUGGGAGGCUUUGAAGCGUGGACGCCAGUCUGCGUGGAGCCGGCCUUGAAAUACCACCCUUUAAUGUUUGAUGUUCUAACGUGGACCCGUGAUCCGGGUUGCGGACAGUGUCUGGUGGGUAGUUUGACUGGGGCGGUCUCCUCCUAAAGAGUAACGGAGGAGCACGAAGGUUGGCUAAUCCUGGUCGGACAUCAGGAGGUUAGUGCAAUGGCAUAAGCCAGCUUGACUGCGAGCGUGACGGCGCGAGCAGGUGCGAAAGCAGGUCAUAGUGAUCCGGUGGUUCUGAAUGGAAGGGCCAUCGCUCAACGGAUAAAAGGUACUCCGGGGAUAACAGGCUGAUACCGCCCAAGAGUUCAUAUCGACGGCGGUGUUUGGCACCUCGAUGUCGGCUCAUCACAUCCUGGGGCUGAAGUAGGUCCCAAGGGUAUGGCUGUUCGCCAUUUAAAGUGGUACGCGAGCUGGGUUUAGAACGUCGUGAGACAGUUCGGUCCCUAUCUGCCGUGGGCGCUGGAGAACUGAGGGGGGCUGCUCCUAGUACGAGAGGACCGGAGUGGACGCAUCACUGGUGUUCGGGUUGUCAUGCCAAUGGCACUGCCCGGUAGCUAAAUGCGGAAGAGAUAAGUGCUGAAAGCAUCUAAGCACGAAACUUGCCCCGAGAUGAGUUCUCCCUGAGACUUUAGGUCUCCUGAAGGAACGUUGAAGACGACGACGUUGAUAGGCCGGGUGUGUAAGCGCAGCGAUGCGUUGAGCUAACCGGUACUAAUGAACCGUGAGGCUUAACC
This 3308-nucleotide ribosomal RNA is filed under the name Salmonella enterica subsp. enterica serovar Derby. RNAcentral's name for it is "bacterial LSU rRNA". It matches the Rfam family "Bacterial large subunit ribosomal RNA". The record is from RNAcentral. Lineage: Bacteria; Pseudomonadati; Pseudomonadota; Gammaproteobacteria; Enterobacterales; Enterobacteriaceae.